CGAUGCCUAAGACAUGCAAGUCGAACGAAGUAGCCUAAUGAAGAUGGAGUGCUUGCACAAAGUUGGAUUUAGAUUCUACUUAGUGGCAGACGGGUGAGGUAACACGUGGGUAAUCUACCUCAGAGACUGGGAGAACGUUUAGAAAUGAACGCUAAUACCGGAUGAUUUAUAAAUGGAUAACUAUUUAUACUAAAAGGAGCUUCGGCUUCACUUUGAGAUGAGCUUGCGGUGUAUUAGCUAGUUGGUAGGGUAAUGGCCUACCAAGGCAACGAUGCAUAUCCGAGCUGAGAGGCUGAUCGGACACAUUGGGACUGAGACACGGCCCAGACUCCUACGGGAGACAGCAGUUAGGAAUAUUCGUCAAUGGGGGAAACCCUGAACGAGCAAUGCCGCGUGAGUGAUGAAGGUCUUAUAGAUUGUAAAACUCUGUUGUAAAGGAAGAACGUCCAUUAUAGGAAAUGAUAGUGGAGUGACGGUACUUUACCAGAGAGCCCCGGCUAACUACGUGCCAGCCGCCGC
RNAcentral lists this ribosomal RNA (519 nucleotides) under uncultured bacterium. Its description in RNAcentral is "bacterial SSU rRNA". It matches the Rfam family "Bacterial small subunit ribosomal RNA", at positions 43 to 518 of the family's 1533-position model. The record is from RNAcentral.